This 41-nucleotide transfer RNA is filed under the name Flagellaria guineensis. Its description in RNAcentral is "partial tRNA-His". The record is from RNAcentral. RNAcentral also lists the same sequence under 3 other names. Lineage: Eukaryota; Viridiplantae; Streptophyta; Magnoliopsida; Poales; Flagellariaceae.
CGGAUGUAGCCAAGUGGAUCAAGGCAGUGGAUUUGUGAUCC